Molecule: non-coding RNA, 86 nt
Organism: Pelobates cultripes (western spadefoot toad)
Lineage: Eukaryota; Metazoa; Chordata; Amphibia; Anura; Pelobatidae
Source: the annotation of a GenBank genome assembly
AUCCUCGUUCAGAUAUCCAGCGAUGCAUGAAAAAAAUAUGUUUAUUUUUAUUUUUUUCAUGCAUCACUGGAAAUCUGAACGAGGAU